Molecule: long non-coding RNA, 684 nt
Organism: Quercus lobata
Lineage: Eukaryota; Viridiplantae; Streptophyta; Magnoliopsida; Fagales; Fagaceae
Exons: 2
Source: RefSeq, a predicted model, not a curated record
UAGCACAUGGAGGUCUGUGACUUGUGUCAGACUGGUAUGGUCUCACAUUCCUUCCUAAAUGGCAAAUAUCCCAACCCAACCGACUAUAACAGCAAAACUCCAACUAAGACUGUUUAACGUGUCCAUCUCCAACUAGGUGCCGACCAUCCCAUCAACCCAUCCUCCACCUACUGAAACUUGGAACUAUUCGUUUAACCGUGGCAACCCGCUCACUCAGCAACAGCUAUAGCAAUAGCUGUCUCAACAUUCAGCAUGGCUCCACGUACAAAACAUAUAUUCUCCUCUCUAUAUAUACAUAUGCUAGCAACUCCAAGGCAUUGAUGCUUUUCUUGCAAUUGGUGGCUCUCAUUUUCUUCUCUAUGGCUUCAUCCGAUACGGCGUCGUCUCCCUCUCCCUCUCCCUCAAUGGACACAGGUGCCGGCUAUUCUACACCGCUUUCUGCCGCUGUAAUGGGAUUCUCUAUUGUCUUCUCUCUUCUUGCUCUCUUUAAGCACUGAGCUACCAUUUCGCUCGCUCUAUUGAUUAAUGGGUUGUUAUUGUCUCGCUUUGGUUUUGCGAUUUGUGAGGGACCUGGAUUGUCAUUUUAUUCAUUCUUUCUUGUUUAUUUUCCUUUAUUUAUAUUUUUUCAUUAAACGAUGAAAUAAUGGUCAUGAUGUUAAUAAUAAUAAAAUUCCUUUUUACUAA